UGGGGAAUAUUGCACAAUGGGCGCAAGCCUGAUGCAGCCAUGCCGCGUGUGUGAAGAAGGCCUUCGGGUUGUAAAGCACUUUCAGCGAGGAGGAAGGGUAGUGUGUUAAUAGCACAUUGCAUUGACGUUACUCGCAGAAGAAGCACCGGCUAACUCCGUGCCAGCAGGCGCGGUAAUACGGAGGGUGCAAGCGUUAAUCGGAAUUACUGGGCGUAAAGCGCACGCAGGCGGUUUGUUAAGUCAGAUGUGAAAUCCCCGCGCUGAACGUGGGAACUGCAUUUGAAACUGGCAAGCUAGAGUCUUGUAGAGGGGGGUAGAAUUCCAGGUGUAGCGGUGAAAUGCGUAGAGAUCUGGAGGAAUACCGGUGGCGAAGGCGGCCCCCUGGACAAAGACUGACGCUCAGGUGCGAAAGCGUGGGGAGCAAACA
This 427-nucleotide ribosomal RNA is filed under the name uncultured bacterium. RNAcentral describes it as "partial 16S ribosomal RNA". It matches the Rfam family "Bacterial small subunit ribosomal RNA", at positions 355 to 774 of the family's 1533-position model. The record is from RNAcentral.